AGAACGAACGCUGGCGGCAUGCCUAACACAUGCAAGUCGAACGAGACCUUCGGGUCUAGUGGCGCACGGGUGCGUAACGCGUGGGAAUCUGCCCUUAGGUACGGAAUAACAGUGAGAAAUUACUGCUAAUACCGUAUGAUGUCUUCGGACCAAAGAUUUAUCGCCUAGGGAUGAGCCCGCGUUGGAUUAGCUAGUUGGUGGGGUAAAGGCCUACCAAGGCGACGAUCCAUAGCUGGUCUGAGAGGAUGAUCAGCCACACUGGGACUGAGACACGGCCCAGACUCCUACGGGAGGCAGCAGUGGGAAUAUUGGACAAUGGGCGAAAGCCUGAUCCAGCAAUGCCGCGUGAGUGAAGAAGGCCUUCGGGUUGUAAAGCUCUUUUACCCGGGAAGAUAAUGACUGUACCGGGAGAAUAAGCCCCGGCUAACUCCGCGCCAGCAGCCGC
Molecule: ribosomal RNA, 445 nt
Filed under: uncultured bacterium
Lineage: Bacteria
Description: SSU rRNA
Rfam family: Bacterial small subunit ribosomal RNA
Source: RNAcentral